GUCAGGGUGGCCGAGCGGUCCAAGGCGCUGCGUUCAGGUCGCAGUCCGGUUCUCCGGGCGUAGGUUCGAAUCCCACUUCUGACA
RNAcentral lists this transfer RNA (84 nucleotides) under Pollicipes pollicipes. RNAcentral's name for it is "tRNA-Leu". It matches the Rfam family "tRNA". From Rfam's summary of the family: Transfer RNA (tRNA) molecules are approximately 80 nucleotides in length. Their secondary structure includes four short double-helical elements and three loops (D, anti-codon, and T loops). Lineage: Eukaryota; Metazoa; Arthropoda; Thecostraca; Pollicipedomorpha; Pollicipedidae. The record is from RNAcentral.